UGGGGAAUAUUGGACAAUGGGCGCAAGCCUGAUCCAGCCAUGCCGCGUGUGUGAAGAAGGCCUUAGGGUUGUAAAGCACUUUCAGUGGGGAGAAAGGUUUGUCACCUAAUACGUGAUGAGAUUGAUGUUACCCACAGAAGAAGCACCGGCUAACUCCGUGCCAGCAGCCGCGGUAAUACGGAGGGUGCAAGCGUUAAUCGGAAUUACUGGGCGUAAAGCGCACGUAGGUGGUUCGCUAAGUCAGCUGUGAAAUCCCCGGGCUCAACCUGGGACUUGCAGUUGAAACUGGUGAGCUAGAGUAGGGUAGAGGGGUGUGGAAUUCCAGGUGUAGCGGUGAAAUGCGUAGAUAUCUGGAGGAACAUCAGUGGCGAAGGCGACACCCUGGACUCAUACUGACACU
Molecule: ribosomal RNA, 400 nt
Filed under: uncultured bacterium
Lineage: Bacteria
Description: bacterial SSU rRNA
Rfam family: Bacterial small subunit ribosomal RNA
Source: RNAcentral